UACGUAGGGGGCAAGCGUUGUCCGGAUUUACUGGGCGUAAAGCGCCUGUAGGCGGCCUGUCAAGUCCGGCCUGAAAGCCCCCCGCUCAACGGGGGAGGGUGGCUGGAAACUGGCAGGCUUGAGGGCGAGAGAGGAGGGUGGAAUUCCUGGUGUAGCGGUGAAAUGCGCAGAUAUCAGGAGGAACACCCGUGGCGAAAGCGGCUCUCUGGGACGGUACUGACGCUGAGACGCGAAAGCGUGGGGAGCAAACAGG
Molecule: ribosomal RNA, 253 nt
Filed under: uncultured bacterium
Lineage: Bacteria
Description: partial 16S ribosomal RNA
Rfam family: Bacterial small subunit ribosomal RNA
Source: RNAcentral